RNAcentral lists this ribosomal RNA (447 nucleotides) under uncultured bacterium. Its description in RNAcentral is "partial 16S ribosomal RNA". It matches the Rfam family "Bacterial small subunit ribosomal RNA", at positions 29 to 523 of the family's 1533-position model. The record is from RNAcentral.
AACGAACGCUGGCGGCAGGCCUAACACAUGCAAGUCGAACGCUGUAGCAAUACAGAGUGGCGCACGGGUGAGAACGCGUAGGAAUCUACCCAUUAGCCUGGGAUAACAGCGGGAAACUGCUGCUAAUACCGGAUACGCCCUUCGGGGGAAAGGUUUACUACUAAUGGAUGAGCCUGCGUUAGAUUAGCUAGUUGGUGAGGUAAUGGCUCACCAAGGCUCCGAUCUAUAGCCGGUCUGAGAGGACGAUCGGCCACACUGGACUGAGACACGGCCCAGACUCCUACGGGAGGCAGCAGUGGGGAAUAUUGGGCAAUGGACACAAGUCUGACCCAGCCAUGCCGCGUGUGUGAUGAAGGCCUUAGGGUUGUAAAGCACUUUUAGUAGUGAAGAUGAUGACAGUUGCUACAGAAAAAGCCCCGGCUAACUUCGUGCCAGCCGCCGCGGUAA